GGCCGCCGUAGUCGAGUGGUAACGCUCCCGACUUUGAAUCGUCAGAUUGUGGGUUCGAUCCCCGCCUUGGUCU
This is a non-coding RNA of Halocaridina rubra (Hawaiian volcano shrimp), 73 nucleotides long. Lineage: Eukaryota; Metazoa; Arthropoda; Malacostraca; Decapoda; Atyidae. The record is from the annotation of a GenBank genome assembly.